This 389-nucleotide unclassified non-coding RNA is filed under the name Ascomycota sp. Its description in RNAcentral is "partial contains small subunit ribosomal RNA, internal transcribed spacer 1, and 5.8S ribosomal RNA". The stretch from base 1 to 47 matches the Rfam family "Eukaryotic small subunit ribosomal RNA", at positions 1785 to 1831 of the family's 1831-position model. Lineage: Eukaryota; Fungi; Ascomycota. The record is from RNAcentral.
AAAGUCGUAACAAGGUUUCCGUAGGUGAACCUGCGGAAGGAUCAUUAAAUGAUAAGCUGCAUGCUAUGCAUGUGACUCGCUAUCAUAAACCACCGCGUAUCGUACCUGUUGCUUUCGUGAGGCGCUGGGUUGCAUUUUAUUAUCAGCCAGGCCGCCCAACGUGAUUGAUAUCCUAUGUGUCCUAUUCAUUUUGGUGUUUUCGGGUCAUCUUUCGAUACCCCUCCAUAAUCGAUUCUGGCUGUGGUUUAUCAAUCAUUAAUUGGGCGAGUCUUCGCGAAAGGUCUACUUUUAAAAACAUUUUUGAAAACUUGUAUGGUCUGAAUACGAAAUUCAAUAUAAUCUAUUGAAAAAAAUCUUUAAAACUUUCAACAACGGAUCUCUUGGUUCUC